ACUUCGGUGUGGGUAGAGCGGCGGACGGGUGAGUAAUGCUUGGGAAUCUGCCCAAUAGUGGGGGAUAACGUGUGGAAACGCACGCUAAUACCGCAUACGUCCUACGGGAGAAAGCAGGGGAUCUUCGGACCUUGCGCUAUUGGAUGAGCCCAAGUCAGAUUAGCUAGUUGGUGAGGUAAUGGCUCACCAAGGCGACGAUCUGUAGCUGGUCUGAGAGGAUGAUCAGCCACACUGGGACUGAGACACGGCCCAGACUCC
RNAcentral lists this ribosomal RNA (258 nucleotides) under unidentified marine bacterioplankton. RNAcentral's name for it is "partial 16S ribosomal RNA". It matches the Rfam family "Bacterial small subunit ribosomal RNA", at positions 77 to 339 of the family's 1533-position model. The record is from RNAcentral. RNAcentral also lists the same sequence under 1 other name.